AUUCCUGUUUUAGUCCCAUUCAUCUUCCUCUGCUCAGGAUGUGUGGCUAUGCUAACAGGAUAUAUGAACUGUCUGUCAGAGUCUGAAGGGGUAGAUAGCUACACGCACUGCCUCUAUAUGUACUGGCAGAACAUCAGUCA
Molecule: small nucleolar RNA, 140 nt
Organism: Astyanax mexicanus (Mexican tetra)
Lineage: Eukaryota; Metazoa; Chordata; Actinopteri; Characiformes; Acestrorhamphidae
Source: Ensembl